RNAcentral lists this non-coding RNA (105 nucleotides) under Chloroflexota bacterium. Its description in RNAcentral is "Chloroflexi bacterium Glycine sequence". It matches the Rfam family "Glycine riboswitch aptamer". From Rfam's summary of the family: This family represents the bacterial glycine riboswitch. Glycine riboswitches usually consist of two metabolite-binding aptamers domains with similar structures in tandem. The aptamers cooperatively bind glycine to regulate the expression of downstream genes. The record is from RNAcentral. Lineage: Bacteria; Bacillati; Chloroflexota.
UAAGGUGAUUAAAAAGAGACCCAAUAUAGCGGGCACCGAAGGUGCAAAUAAGGACUCAGGCAAAGUCUUUAUGAAACUCUCAGGUAAAAGGAUUUAUUCACCGCU